UGCUAUUUUUCAGUUGCUUAUGUUCUAAUGAUAAAAUAACAAAGAUACAUUUUUUUAAUCACUCAUUAGCGACCUUAUAAGGAAUAUAUGUACAUUAUAUUGAAUGGCUGGAUAUGAUCAUGUAGCUUUGGCAUUGGCAAUUUGAUAUAACAACUACAUUAGACCAUUGACUUAAAGAGCGGUUGAUAUUCGUUUUACAUUUGUAGGCACUUUUGAGAAUGCCAUAGAUAAAACUUAUUUCAUGCAUGUGUGACUUGUGGAGUAAAUUGAUGAAUUAACAAUUUUGGCAAUAAUCUUCUAAGGUAAAUAGGGAGGCAGCUCUUAGUCUUUGAUGGUGAUGAUAAAACUGAUGGUAAUCCCUAAGUUAACAAGUUUGUUCUUUUAGUUAGCAGUGAUAUCAACAUGAAUUUUCUAGUUCAAUUGAAAUUCACUACAACUUUAAAUUAUUUUUAUCACUGUUUUGAGCUCUAUGUUAAAAGAUCUUAAAUUUGGGUAUUGAAAUCAAGUGGUUUACAAUUAAGUUAUCUCUAAAGAAAUGGGUGAACUUGAAUUUGAUGAUAAUGUACCGCAAAUCAUUCUCACCGUGUAGUGGUAACAGACAUCCUAUGACAUUGCUUGUUGUCAAAGAAUUUUGGUCUGAAUUCCUCUCCUUGUGAAAGUUGCUUUCUCUAUAUAGAGACUAUUGUGCAUUACAAGGCUGAAAACCAGCCAUUUCAUCGGGCUAUACAAGGUAGGAAUAAGGCCUAUCAAUUAUAUACCUAUAUACAAUAUAUUUCUAUAUAUAGUAGACUAAAUUAGGCCGCACAUAUUGAGUUGACAAUUCUACUAACAACCCCCUCAAAUUGAUGUUGGGUGAUUGAGAAGCAUCAAUUUGUCAAUAAGGUACCAAUGGUGAGGAUGAGAGAGAGCCUUGGGGAAAACAUUAGUGGUUUGGUAUUUAGUGAAAAUGUGUGGAAAAGUAAUCUCCCGAUGAACCAAGGCUUCACAAAUGGAAUGACAAUUCACUUCAAUAUGUUUGGUGUGCUAAUGAAAAAUGAGAUUGGUAGCAAUCUAAAUAGCAUGGUAUUAUCAACAUGAAGUGAAGUAAGAGUAAGCUACAAACCACUAACAACUCGUGAAGCCAUACAAUUUCAAAACAAUUAGACAACAUAGUUCAAUAUUUAGACUAAGUAGAUGACUUUAAGACAAGAACCAGAACCUACUUCUUACUCUUUCAAGAAAUGAGAGCAUCACCGAGGAACAUAUACCAACCCAUAACAAAACAAUGAGUAUCCACACAACCAGUCUAGUCGGCAUCAUUAAAGCCCUCUAACUGUAAAGAAUUCCUUGAAGGGAAGAGCAAGUUGUAACAAGAUGUCCCUUUGAGAUAUUGAAGGAGACAACAGGCAACAACCAAAUGUGUCUGGCAUAGAGCUUGCAUAAAUUGAUUGAUUUGCUAAACAAAAAACAAGAUAUCAAGUUCAGUAAUGGUCAAAUAGUUCAAACUACCUGCUAGUUGUCGAUACAUUGAAGAAUCAGAAAAGGGAUCACCAUUCGCCUUAUGUAACUUCAAAUUUACCUCUAUAGGAGUAAGAACCGAAUUAUUGUCUUGAAAGCCAGCUAAAGAAAGAAGUUCUUGGGUAUACUUAUUUUGAUGUAAGAGUGUGCCAUUCGAACAAGGUUAAACCUCAAGUCCAAGAAAAUACCGUAGAGGACCAAGAUCUUUCACAUGAAAGGAAGAUUUGAGGCGCUAUUGGAGCUGUUCAAUUAACUAGAGAUCAGAUCUAGUAAUCACAAUAUUAUCGACAUACACAAGAAGUAUAAUGAUCCCAAGGGUAGUCUUGCGAAAAAAUACUAACUCUGAGUGAAGGCAAGAUGCAAUAGAGUAGCACGAAACUUCUUAAACCAUGCUUGUAGCGCUUGCUUCAAACCAUACAAAAGACUACUUUAAGAUAAAAAAAAACUCAACAAAAGAUGAAGGAAACAAGCCAAGAAGAGGACGCAUAAAUAGUUUUUCCUUUAGGUCACCAUGUAAAAAUACAUUCUUCCCAUCCAUCUUACGAAGUGACAUCCUUUUGAAACAACAAUGGCUUAACAAUGAGGACAAUAGUAAUUUAGGCCAUAGGAGUAAAUGUUCCCUUAUAAUCAAGCUCAUACUCCAAUAGGACAAGUGACAAUGUCCCAGGUAUGAUUUUCUAUGAGAACCUGAAGUUUGUCCUACAUAACUUUGCACUAACACUCUUGAGUAUAAGCAUGAGAAUAAGACCUGGGCACAAAAGUAUUAUCAAGAGUAGCUUGGAGAGUGAAAAAAAGAAAAACCAUACCAAUCUAAAGGCUAGGAAACCCUAGUAGAUCGGCAGCGCACAUGCAAUGUAGGAUCAAUGGCAGUUUAGAGGUAGGAAGAGGUAGCGAGUGACGUUGCUGAUACACAAUACCUGACUUAAAACGAGGAGUACUAGACAUGUCAUCAAAAAGAGGAAGAUACAAAAUUAGGACGAGACAGAAAGAAAUAUUUAUGUUUUUAAAAAAAUCACAUUGCAUUAAAUAUGAAGCUUGUUAGCCUCUGCAUCAUAACACGUAAACCCUUUAUGAGAGUUACUAUAGCCAAAAAAAGCACAUUGAACUCAAUCUUGUCAUCUUUAGUGGUUGGUUAGUGAACAAAACAAACGCUACCAAAAACAUGUAGAGAAUUAUAAUCAGGAAGGAGGAAGGACAUCAAACAAACGAUACUAUGGAGAUCAAGAUGCAAAGUAGAAGAAGACAAAUGAUUAAUCAAAUAUACAAUCGUUGAUAAGGCUUCUACUCAAAAUCUAGAAGGAACAUCAGACUCACACAUCAAUGUAUAUCUAAAAAUUGGUGAUUAUGAUGCUCAGUGGCACUAUUAUGUUGAGGGUAUAAGGACAUGAAUGUUGAGAGAAAAUACCCUUUAGAUAGAGAAAAGAUUGAAAAACAUGAGACAUGUAUUCUCCUCCAAAAUUUGAGCAUAAGAUCUUAAUUUAGAUAGAAAAUUAGGCUUUUAAAUCAGCAACAAAUUUAGAACAAAGAAACUAGACCCAUAUGAAACGAUUAUUAUUGUCAAUAAAUGUCACAAAAUACCUGUAUUGAGCAUGAGAAGGAACAUCACUUGUAUCGUAGGCAUCAGAAUGAAUAAUUUCAAAAAAUGUAAAAGUGUGACUACCCUACAAAGGAAAAUGUAAAGAUUUGCUUUUGCCAAGUUUACCAGGAAAGAGAACUUAUUUUUAUUCUUCAAAUAACCAUGUUUUAUAUAUUGUGUCAGGAUUACAGAGUUGGAAUGACUGUAUUUGUUAUGCCAAUAUUGGCUAUUAUUAUUAAAAAUAGCAGAACAACCAAUAUAAAUUGAAUGAGGAAUGAAAAAUCACUAAAGAGGAAAAAGACAUCCCAUUAUAAGCUCUUUUUGUUGUCUCCUAUCCUGACUCUUGAUCCCGCGCACAAUUGCUACUAGAAUGAUCAAUAUGAAGAGAACAAUUUUCUUCUACUAAUUGUCUAAUUGAAAUGAGGUUGGCAGAUAAAUCAGGAUACACAAAAACAUUAGUAAAUGAAGACCCUAUAUUUUCGAUCACUGUAAUAGGAAGAGGACUGCCAUUGGCGAUUUGCAUAUGCUGCUUACCAUCAUAUUUAUGAACAUCAUGUAAAGUUGCCAAAUUGGCAAACAUGUGAUUGGAAGCCACGAUGUAUUUGACCUUGGAGACCAAGAGCAAAAAUGGCAAAAAUAAUCAUUUGUUGAACGUGUUUGGGAGUUAUGUUGGAAGAACCCAAAACAAUGGAUUGUACAGAAGAUGUAGGCAAAAAAGUGGACUAAACAACAAUAUGAGAUUAGUUUUGAGGGCAGGCAUGAAAAUCCUUAAUGACAUGACCUUGCAAUAAUAACAUAAUUUCUAGCUGCAAAAUUUUGCAAUGUGUCUAAUUUCCUAACAACUAUAACACCAUGGUGGAGAUCUAAAUCAUCAUCUUCCUCGAGUAGUGUAGGCCAUAUUAACCUUCUCAGAACUACAAGCAUUUUGAGCAAGGCCAAGCUGUGAGGCAAGAUGUUGUUCUUCACACAAGAGUUCACCUAAGUCAACAUCCAAAGAUGGGACAUGCUGGUGAUUGAUUAACUUAGCUCGUACAUUUUCAAUCUCAAGUCAUAGCUUCAAGAAUUGAUCCUACUGGCUCUCAGAAUGAACCACUUGUAGUGUUGCUAAAGCUGCUUUGGGAACCUGUGAAUGCAUCAAUCCAAAAUAAUCAUUUUUUAAAUUAAUAAAACCGAAUAAAAUAGCUCAAUAAUUUCCAGUGUCUAAUUCCAAUUGAAACUUUCAGGCAGAAUUAUCUUAAUAAUAAAUUCGUCAAAGGUAAUCUAACAUUGUCUUAACAGUAGUGAACCCAAGAAUAUUGUUGACUAUAUGAGGUUCAACAGAACUUAAUAGCCAGGUAGCAUUUUGGCAUCCCUGCUUUCCCAUGAAUUAAGUUCCUUGGGAUCAAUGGGAGCUGUAGAAGACCAAUCCAAAUGACCCCCAUAACUCCCCUUCCACAAACAUAUAGAUUUGGAAUUCCUAUCUAGCUUAAUUCUUGCUAGUAAAUCGAACAAUAGAAUUUUCUCCUAACAUAAUAACCACAAAAAAUUGAUAGAAAAAAAAAUCAUCAUAGCUACAUGACCUGCUGAUAGCCACCAAACCAAAGACGACUGAAACUCUAAACUAGAUAAGCACCACACCAUCGAGAAACCAAGAGACAAUUGACAACCAAGAGACAGCUAAGAACUCCACAAUAAAAAACUGAACCUCCAAGCCAGAGAACCACUUCUGCCAAUACC
Molecule: long non-coding RNA, 4789 nt
Organism: Populus euphratica (Euphrates poplar)
Lineage: Eukaryota; Viridiplantae; Streptophyta; Magnoliopsida; Malpighiales; Salicaceae
Exons: 2
Source: RefSeq, a predicted model, not a curated record